This 480-nucleotide ribosomal RNA is filed under the name uncultured bacterium. Its description in RNAcentral is "partial 16S ribosomal RNA". It matches the Rfam family "Bacterial small subunit ribosomal RNA", at positions 28 to 507 of the family's 1533-position model. The record is from RNAcentral.
GACGAACGCUGGCGGCGUGCUUAACACAUGCAAGUCGAACGAUGAAGAAAAGAAUUGAAGCUUCGGCAGAAAUUCAUUUCGGAUUAGUGGCAGACGGGUGAGUAACGCGUGAGCAACCUACCUCUUACAAAGGGAUAGCCUCGGGAAACCGGGAUUAAUACCAUAUAACAUUGCGACGAAGCAUUUCGAUGCAAUCAAAGCUACGGCGGUAAGAGAUGGGCUCGCGUCCCAUUAACCAGAUGGUGAGGUAACGGCUCACCAUAGUAACGAUGGGUAACCGGGAUGAGAGGGUGAACGGUCACACUGGAACUGAGACACGGUCCAGACUCCUACGGGAGGCAGCAGUGGGGAAUAUUGCACAAUGGAGGGAACUCUGAUGCAGCGACGCCGCGUGAGUGAUGAAGGAAUUCGUUUCGUAAAACUCUGUUCUAUGGGAAGAAAAGGACUGUACCAUAGGAGAAAGCUCCGGCUAAAUACGUG